Molecule: long non-coding RNA, 3324 nt
Organism: Glycine soja
Lineage: Eukaryota; Viridiplantae; Streptophyta; Magnoliopsida; Fabales; Fabaceae
Exons: 3
Source: RefSeq, a predicted model, not a curated record
UAAGAUGAUUAUAAAGAUAAUUAUUACAAUAACUAAUAAACUUAGUACGUACCAUAAAUCUAUUGAUUAUUAUACAUAUCAAAAGGCUUGGUUGUUGUUGUUGCCUUUUUGUUGAUUUGAGUUAGAAGGAAUUACCCGUGAAAUAUUUUAAUUCAAGGUAGUAAAUGCUUAGGACACAAGUGAAGAAAGUAAAAAAAAAAAAAAAGGAAGGAAUUUUUAACCUCCACACUUACAACUAAGUUUUUUUAAGUCAUAAUAUAUUUGUAUUCAGAUAAGUAACAUGUACAAGAGGUAUAAUAAGCAGAACCAAUAAAGUUUUGCGAUAGGCAAAAGUGUACCCCUGUUACUUUCAAUCACCUAAAGCAAUCCUAUAACAAGAUUCAAAACAAAAGAAAACCGCAUUUGUGUAUGUUGCAUGAUGCUAUUUGUUCAAAACACAAUCUCAAGGGUUAAUACACCAAUAUGAGAAAGCAACUCCCCCAAAACUCUCCCAUCUAUACAUCCACCAAUUCCAUGACACUAACUUAAUCUGAUAAAAAAAUCAAAAUAAUCUAUAUGCUUCUAAUUAAACACUAUUAUUUCUAUUGAUCCACACUGUCCAACAAGUAGCAUGCCAAAAUCAAUCUUUUACCUUUUUUCCUUCUAGCACCCAACAGAUUCUCUCUAAUCAUCCCAAACAGCUUAUAUGAUUUGGAAUUUGUAAAUCGAUUCCCACCUAUGCCAUAAGUCUUUCCCACAAUCUGUUAAUUACCGAACUUAGUAUGAACAAAUUGUUGCUAGUUUCCACCUCCAGGCCACACAUUUUGCAUGAAGAAUUGUAGUCUUGAAUAAUUUAUUAUUAUUACGUACAACAAUUUAUAUGUUCACAUCUAUUAGACUUAUGAUCUGGUCGUUAAUAGCCAUUUGAUUAUUUAUGAAGGCAAAUGAUCUGAUAAUUUAUAUGUUCACAUCAAUUAGUGUUGUGAAGUGUGCACUUUAAUUCCUAAUUAUCAUAAAGAUAAUCUAAUUUUCACUUUCAUCCUAUUUUCUUAUAUGUUUUAGUAAUUGCAAGAAUGCACCAAUGCAAGAUACUUCAAGUAGUUCAUUUACAAUUUCUUCACCACAGGUAGCACAAAUUUAUCAUUACCUGAAUGAAACACAGUCCUUCACUUGAUGUGCUUCACAUCAUUAACAUAAUCAACAAUUUGUCAUUUUAAGGUUUCCCCAAGUCAUGCUCGAAUUAACUAUAAGAAUGGUGCCUUCUUUGAUGGGAUUGAAACCUUAUCAUUGAAUUCUGUCAAAGAAGUCUUCUUCGGAUACCAUGUUUUGUUGAGUCAGCAUCUUUGAUAGUAGUGAAACCACCUAUACUCUUUGUUCCCUUCUCUGUCUCUCCAUUUAAAAUCUAUCACAUUACUAAAUAAUUUAUCUCUUUUGAAUAAUAACAUUCUCUAGGUUGUUAGUUUUUUCUACUAAGUUGUUAUUUUUUGUUGGAGGGACUGUGAAGGGGACAUAAAAAGGAGACAGGUAUUUGAUUCCCUUUGCGUGAGGGGAUUUUCCUUGGUAUUUUGUAUUUUCUUUGGAGGCUCAUGUUUGCUAUUUGAUGAUGAUUGCUUUGUUGGCUGCCUAGUUAAAUUUUGAGCUUCUGCCAAACUUUUUGAGCCCUUAGGACUUGGAUAUCUUAUUUUCUUGAUUCACUCCUUAAAUUAAGAUUUGUUUUAUGCUCACCACUCCAUUGUUUUGGGCCAUUUUACACUAAUUGCUAUAAGUCAUUGUAGAUUUGAUAUUUUUUUAUUUAUUUUGGUCAUGGUCAUGGUCAUGGAAUUUAUUAAAAAAGUUACAGGGGUAUUUUUAAGCCAUGAUUCUUGAUUUUCAAUUUUAUGAGCAUAUCUAUCCUUAGAAUUUGUUUUCAGUUCAUAUUCAAUUAAAUCCCAAGUAUAUAUUAUUUGUUUAAUGCCAUCUUGCAUAUGUGAAGAGUAAGGUAUCAACUAGUUUGACUAGUUAAAUUUGUUGGAGAUUGAGAUACACACUAGAAGAAAAGUAAGAGUGAGCAAACUCUGAGAGAGGUUUUGAUAAAAAGCGUGAGUUAAUUAGAGUCGUUAUGUAAGGCUAUUUAUUUAGACCCUUUGUUCCUAACAAGGCCGAAAAUAAGGUGGGUAGGUAGAGCAAGUUGAUGCACCUGUGAGUUUUAUCAAUUGCUAACUUCUUUUAAUUUGUUAAGGUUGGCUACUACCUAAACCUUUUAUCCGAACAUCGCAUCAUAGUUCAUAGUAAGACCAGGAAUAUGAAUCUCUUAAGUGUUUAAUCUUACAGUGGCAUGUCAGAAGCAAAUGAAUAUUAUUUUAUUUUCCUGAAUAUAUAUAUUCCAUUUGCUUUAGAGGGCUUCCAAUUAAUGAAAUAACGUACUAAAUUUUUUAUGGUGUAAACUUAGAUUUAUCCAAGAAAUAAAAAUUAUAAAAUGACCUAAGUUGAAAUGGUUGAGUUGAAGAAUGUUGACACAUGUUAUUUUCCAAUCAAUUUCAAUGCCUUUGACUACAUGAGAAGUGCUUAGGCCAUUUUAUGUUGCUUCUUGCGUUUUGAUGUAUUUGCAGUCCCUUCUAGCAUAAUCAGGUAGCCUUGUAACAUUCAAUAUUAUAGUUCUUCUUUUGUGUGCGGUUUUCUCUAAUUUUCUAUAUAUCUGAUAGUAUUUUUUUAACACUAGGAGAUAACUCUCAUCUUGUGUUGUCCAUUUUGGUCAACCACUUGGAUCAUAAGAAUGUUGUUAAGAAGUCUAUCCUUCAUAUUGAUAUUAUCAACACCACCAUGUAGCUUGCACAAAAUGUGAAGCAACUGGCUUCAAUUGCAAUAAUUGGAUCAAAGUUCUCUUAGGUUGAGCAGUCACCAAGUGAGUCUUUUGCUUUCUUCAAUUUGGGUUCAGGCCACAUUUGUGGAAAAUGGCCCUGCAAAUUAUGAGGCAAUGGCACACACCUAUAGCAUUGCUUUAUUAUUUUCUCGUUCUAAGAUGAUAAAGAUGUGUUGAUUCCUGGUGAGGUUCUACGUUGGGAUUAUGGAUAUCAAUGUAGGACACAACAAAAGCAGUGAGGACUUUGUUUCUGUAUCUAUACAAUAGUUAGUUUUCGAUGAGAAAAGAAUAUGACGUCUUCAGUUGGAUCUAUUGAUCUUCAUUUUGUUGUUCUUAGGAAUAGAUGUGUGUUGGCCAGCUGGGGAGUGAGUUGAUGUAUUAGGCUUUCCUUCCCCUUUUGAUAGGUACUUUGAAAGCCAUGUAUGUUUUAUUUAGAGAUACUUGGAUUUCUUACUAAUGAUUGUAGUUCCAUAAGGCACAAUACUAUAUUUUCAUUGUUUCUGUUA